GACGAACGCUGGCGGUAUGCUUAACACAUGCAAGUCGAACGAGAAGGUUUUGAAUGAUCCUUCGGGUGAAAUUAGAACUGGAAAGUGGCGAACGGGUGAGUAACGCGUGGGUAACCUGCCCUAUGGAAAGGAAUAGCCUCGGGAAACUGGGAGUAAAGCCUUAUAUUAUGGUUUUUGUCGCAUGGCAAGAUCAUGAAAACUCCGGUGCCAUAAGAUGGACCCGCGUCCCAUUAGGCUACGUUGGUGAGAUAACAGCCCACCGAAGGCGACGAUGGGUAACCCGGUCUGAGAGGGCGAACGGUCACACUGGAACUGGAGACACGGGUCCAGACUCCUACGGGAGGCAGCAGGUGGGGAAUAUUGCG
Molecule: ribosomal RNA, 365 nt
Filed under: uncultured bacterium
Lineage: Bacteria
Description: bacterial SSU rRNA
Rfam family: Bacterial small subunit ribosomal RNA
Source: RNAcentral